This 427-nucleotide ribosomal RNA is filed under the name uncultured bacterium. RNAcentral describes it as "partial 16S ribosomal RNA". It matches the Rfam family "Bacterial small subunit ribosomal RNA", at positions 355 to 774 of the family's 1533-position model. The record is from RNAcentral.
UGGGGAAUAUUGCACAAUGGGCGCAAGCCUGAUGCAGCCAUGCCGCGUGUAUGAAGAAGGCCUUCGGGUUGUAAAGUACUUUCAGCGAGGAGGAAGGCGUUGUGGUUAAUAACCGCAGCGAUUGACGUUACUCGCAGAAGAAGCACCGGCUAACUCCGUGCCAGCAGCCGCGGUAAUACGGAGGGUGCAAGCGGUAAUCGGAACUACUGGGUGUAAAGCGCACGCAGGCGGUCUGUCAAGUCGGAUGUGAAAUCCCCGGGCUCAACCUGGGAACUGCAUCCGAAACUGGCAGGCUAGAGUCUUGUAGAGGGGGGUAGAAUUCCAGGUGUAGCGGUGAAAUGCGUAGAGAUCUGGAGGAAUACCGGUGGCGAAGGCGGCCCCCUGGACAAAGACUGACGCUCAGGUGCGAAAGCGUGGGGAGCAAACA